Non-coding RNA from Pelobates cultripes (western spadefoot toad), 216 nucleotides. The record is from the annotation of a GenBank genome assembly. NCBI's taxonomy places the organism in Eukaryota, Metazoa, Chordata, Amphibia, Anura, Pelobatidae.
UUAUCCAGCACACCAAUUCCCCCCGUUUCUGGAUGUACCCCUAAACCACUUUAAAUUAUACAUCCCCUGGUAGUCCUGAUCUGGGUGAACAACAUAUCCAAAAAUCACCCAGAUCAGACCAGGGGUUCGGGAAAUUCAUGGAGGGAAUAAAAUGGCCGACCGCACUGGAAGGAAUAGCCGAAUUGGGCUCCAUGCGAUGGGGCCCUGCGGUCGGUC